CCUACGGGUGGCAGCAGUGAGGAAUAUUUGUCAAUGGGCGCGAGCCUGAACCAGCCAAGUAGCGUGAAGGAUGACUGCCCUACGGGUUGUAAACUUCUUUUAUGAAGGAAUAAAGUGAAGCACGUGUGCCUUUUGGUGUGUACUUUAUGAAUAAUGAUCGGCUAACUCCGUGCCAGCAGCCGCGGUAAUACGGAGGAGCCGAGCGUUAUCCGGAUUUAUUGGGUUUAAAGGGAGCGUAGAUGGGUUGUUAAGUCAGUUGUGAAAGUUUGCGGCUCAACCGUAAAAUUGCAAUUGAUACUGGCAGCCUUGAGUACAGUAGAGGUAGGCGGAAUUCGUGGUGUAGCGGUGAAAUGCUUAGAUAUCACGAAGAACUCCGAUUGCGAAGGCAGCUUACUAAACUGCCACUGACAUUGAUGCUCGAAAGUGUGGGUAUCAAACAGGAUUAGAUACCCGAGUAGUC
This 460-nucleotide ribosomal RNA is filed under the name uncultured bacterium. RNAcentral describes it as "partial 16S ribosomal RNA". It matches the Rfam family "Bacterial small subunit ribosomal RNA", at positions 338 to 795 of the family's 1533-position model. The record is from RNAcentral.